RNAcentral lists this transfer RNA (73 nucleotides) under Atopostipes suicloacalis DSM 15692. It matches the Rfam family "tRNA". Rfam says of the family: Transfer RNA (tRNA) molecules are approximately 80 nucleotides in length. Their secondary structure includes four short double-helical elements and three loops (D, anti-codon, and T loops). The record is from Rfam by way of RNAcentral. Lineage: Bacteria; Bacillati; Bacillota; Bacilli; Lactobacillales; Carnobacteriaceae. RNAcentral also lists the same sequence under 1 other name.
GCCGCUUUAGCUCAGUAGGUAGAGCGCAUCCAUGGUAAGGAUGAGGUCGCCGGUUCGAUUCCGGCAAGUGGCU